Molecule: unclassified non-coding RNA, 524 nt
Filed under: Hevea brasiliensis (rubber tree)
Lineage: Eukaryota; Viridiplantae; Streptophyta; Magnoliopsida; Malpighiales; Euphorbiaceae
Source: RNAcentral
ACCACCACCUUGCCCCAUGCCAUUGCCAUAGCCCCCACCUUGACCAAAGCCACCGCCAUUACCCCCACCUGACCCAUACCCACCAUCCCCAAUGCCUAUUCCACCACCUUUCCCGUAACCUCCUCCGAGACCAGGCCAUCCGGCCCCACCACCACCCGAGCCAUAGCCAAAACCACCACCUGACCCUACUUCGUAACCACCAGCAAAUGUUCCAUAGCCAGCCUUUAGGCCCUUGACACCAUGCAUUUGUUUAUUUUCAUCGCCCAUAUGACGCUCCCCACUGAGUGACCUCGCUUCUUCCUUGGCUUGAAGAAGGAUAAAACUACAGAGCCCAAACGCCAGAAGGACGAGACCCCAUGACACCACAUUUUGUCUUUUCAUGACUCUUUCUCUAUAAGCCGCAAAGAAAAAUAGAAAGCAAAAGCUUACAAGAACGACACAGAUGGGCGCAUGAAAAAUGGAAGUUCUCUCACCCACGAGCUUGUAUGGACACCGGUGGAAGUGUGUAUAUAGUUCAUGCAAUG